UAUACUUAUGAUGCAUUUUUGGCCAUUCCCAACACCACUGGUCUCAAGGUGUAUUUAUGAUCAACAGAGAUAACACAGUGUCUCAAAGGUGA
Molecule: long non-coding RNA, 92 nt
Organism: Lontra canadensis (Northern American river otter)
Lineage: Eukaryota; Metazoa; Chordata; Mammalia; Carnivora; Mustelidae
Exons: 4
Source: RefSeq, a predicted model, not a curated record